This 417-nucleotide ribosomal RNA is filed under the name uncultured bacterium. Its description in RNAcentral is "partial 16S ribosomal RNA". It matches the Rfam family "Bacterial small subunit ribosomal RNA", at positions 360 to 774 of the family's 1533-position model. The record is from RNAcentral.
AAUAUUGGACAAUGGGUGUAAGCCUGACCUAGUCAUCCCGCGUUAAGGAUGACGGUCCUAUGUAAAGUAAACAUCUUUUGUACAGGAAAAUACCUACCCUCGUGAGAGUAGCUGAAUUCACUGUACCACUAAUCUUCGUCUAUCCGCGUGCCCGCAGUCGCGGUAAUACGGCGGGUGCAAGCGUUACCCGGAUUUAUUGGGUUUAAAGGGUCCGUAGGCGGACCCGUAAGUCAGUGGUGAAAUCUCAUAGCUUAACUAUGAAACUGCCAUUGAUACUGCGGGUCUUGAGUAAAUUUGAAGUGGCUGGAAUAAGUAGUGUAGCGGUGAAAUGCAUAGAUAUUACUUAGAACACCAAUUGCGAAGGCAGGUCACUAAGAUUUAACUGACGCUGAUGGACGAAAGCGUGGGUAGCGAACA